GGAACUGGCGGCGUGCUACCAUGCAAGUCGAACGAUGAACCGCUUUCGGGCGGGGAUUAGUGGCGAACGGGUGAGUAACACGUGGGCAAUCUGCCCUGCACUCUGGGACAAGCCCUGGAAACGGGGUCUAAUACCGGAUAUGACCGUCUGCCGCAUGGUGGAUGGUGUAAAGCUCCGGCGGUGCAGGAUGAGCCCGCGGCCUAUCAGCUUGUUGGUGAGGUAGUGGCUCACCAAGGCGACGACGGGUAGCCGGCCUGAGAGGGCGACCGGCCACACUGGGACUGAGACACGGCCCAGACUCCUACGGGAGGCAGCAGUGGGGAAUAUUGCACAAUGGGCGAAAGCCUGAUGCAGCGACGCCGCGUGAGGGAUGACGGCCUUCGGGUUGUAAACCUCUUUCAGCAGGGAAGAAGCGAAAGUGACGGUACCUGCAGAAGAAGCGCCGGCUAACUACGUGCCAGCAGCCGCGGUAAUACGUAGGGCGCAAGCGUUGUCCGGAAUUAUUGGGCGUAAAGAGCUCGUAGGCGGCUUGUCACGUCGGUUGUGAAAGCCCGGGGCUUAACCCCGGGUCUGCAGUCGAUACGGGCAGGCUAGAGUUCGGUAGGGGAGAUCGGAAUUCCUGGUGUAGCGGUGAAAUGCGCAGAUAUCAGGAGGAACACCGGUGGCGAAGGCGGAUCUCUGGGCCGAUACUGACGCUGAGGAGCGAAAGCGUGGGGAGCGAACAGGAUUAGAUACCCUGGUAGUCCACGCCGUAAACGGUGGGCACUAGGUGUGGGCAACAUUCCACGUUGUCCGUGCCGCAGCUAACGCAUUAAGUGCCCCGCCUGGGGAGUACGGCCGCAAGGCUAAAACUCAAAGGAAUUGACCGGGC
RNAcentral lists this ribosomal RNA (871 nucleotides) under Streptomyces violascens. Its description in RNAcentral is "bacterial SSU rRNA". It matches the Rfam family "Bacterial small subunit ribosomal RNA", at positions 32 to 919 of the family's 1533-position model. The record is from RNAcentral. Lineage: Bacteria; Bacillati; Actinomycetota; Actinomycetes; Kitasatosporales; Streptomycetaceae.